This 2802-nucleotide ribosomal RNA is filed under the name Gammaproteobacteria bacterium. RNAcentral's name for it is "bacterial LSU rRNA". It matches the Rfam family "Bacterial large subunit ribosomal RNA". Lineage: Bacteria; Pseudomonadati; Pseudomonadota; Gammaproteobacteria. The record is from RNAcentral.
AGCGCAUAUGGUGGAUGCCUUGGCAGUAAGAGGCGAUGAAGGACGUGGAAGUCUGCGAAAAGCUUCGGGGAGUUGACAAACAAACUUUGAUCCGGAGAUGUCCGAAUGGGGGAACCCGGCUAGAACUAUCUAGUCAUGUCUAUCUGAAUACAUAGGAUAGAUAAGCGAACCUGGAGAACUGAAACAUCUAAGUAACCAGAGGAAAAGAAAUCAAAUGAGAUUCCCUUAGUAGUGGCGAACGAAAGGGGAACAGUCCUGUUCACAUACGAUUAAUAUUAUAUAGAAGAAAGUGUUGGAAAAUACUUCCAUAGAGGGUGAUAGUCCCGUAUUCGAAAUAUAUUAUUAAUCAGUGACGAUGAGUAGGUCGGGACACGUGUUAUCUUGACUGAAUAUGGGGGGCCCAUCCUCCAAGACUAAAUACUCCUUACUGACCGAUAGUGAACCAGUACCGUGAGGGAAAGGUGAAAAGAACCCCGUUGAGGGGAGUGAAAUAGAUCCUGAAACCGUAUGCGUACAAGCAGUAGGAGCUUUAUCUUUGAUAGAGUGACUGCGUACCUUUUGUAUAAUGGGUCAGCGACUUACUUUUAGCAGCAAGCUUAACCAACUAGGGGAGGCGUAGGGAAACCGAGUCUGAAUAGGGCGUCUUAGUUGCUAGGAGUAGACCCGAAACCGAGCGAUCUAGCCAUGGCCAGGGUGAAGGUUAGGUAACACUGACUGGAGGCCCGAACCCACUGAUGUUGAAAAAUCACGGGAUGAGCUGUGGCUAGGAGUGAAAGGCUAAUCAAGCUCGGAGAUAGCUGGUUCUCUUCGAAAGCUAUUUAGGUAGCGCCUCGUGUAUAUCGUUUGGGGGUAGAGCACUGUUUCGGCUAGGGGGCUGUCAUGGCUUACCAAACCGAUGCAAACUCCGAAUACCAAACAGAUCAAUCACGGGAGACACACUGCGGGUGCUAACGUCCGUAGUGGAGAGGGAAACAACCCAGACCGCCAGCUAAGGUCCCUAAAAAUAGUUAAGUGGGAAACGUAGUGGGAAGGCAUAAACAGCCAGGAGGUUGGCUUAGAAGCAGCCAUCCUUUAAAGAAAGCGUAAUAGCUCACUGGUCGAGUCGUCCUGCGCGGAAGAUUUAACGGGGCUAAACUAUUUACCGAAGCUGCGGGUGCAUGAAAAAUUUAUUUUUUAUGCGCGGUAGAAGAGCGUUCUGUAGGCCGUUGAAGGUGUGUUGAGAAGCAUGCUGGAGGUAUCAGAAGUGCGAAUGCUGACAUGAGUAACGAUAAUGAUGGUGAGAAACCAUCACGCCGAAAGUCUAAGGUUUCCUGCUCGACGUUAAUCGGAGCAGGGUGAGUCGGCCCCUAAGGUGAGGCGGAAACGCGUAAUCGAUGGGAAACAGGUUAAUAUUCCUGUACUUUGUAUAAUUUCGAUGUGGAGACGGAGAAGGCUAGGCCAGCCAGGUAAUGGUUGUCUUGGUUUAAGCGUGUAGGAAGAGUAUUUAGGCAAAUCCGGAUACUCGUUAAUUCUGAGGCGUGAUGACGAAGUUCAUUUUUUUGAACUGAAGUGGUUGAUGCCAUGCUUCCAGGAAAAUCCACUAAGGCUAGGUUAUACAAAACCGUACCCCAAACCGACACAGGUAGACAAAUAGAGAAUAUUAAGGCGCUUGAGAGAACUUGGGUGAAGGAACUAGGCAAAAUGGUACCGUAACUUCGGGAGAAGGUACGCCUUCUUUGGUGAUAGAUCUUGCAUCUUGAGCUGAUGAAGGCCUCAGAAACUAGGUGGCUGCGACUGUUUAUUAAAAACACAGCACUCUGCUAACUCGCAAGAGGAUGUAUAGGGUGUGACGCCUGCCCGGUGCCGGAAGGUUAAUUGAUGGGGUUAGCGUAAGCGAAGCUCCGGAUCGAAGCCCCGGUAAACGGCGGCCGUAACUAUAACGGUCCUAAGGUAGCGAAAUUCCUUGUCGGGUAAGUUCCGACCUGCACGAAUGGCGUAACGAUGGCCACGCUGUCUCCACCCAAGACUCAGUGAAAUUGAAAUCGCUGUGAAGAUGCAGUGUACCUGCGGCUAGACGGAAAGACCCCGUGCACCUUUACUACAACUUUGCACUGGACUUUGAAUAUAUCUGUGUAGGAUAGGUGGGAGACUUUGAAGCUGGAACGCUAGUUCUGGUGGAGUCACCCUUGAAAUACCACCCUGAUGUAUUUGAGGUUCUAACCUGAUCCCGUGAAUCCGGGAUAGGGACAGUGUAUGGUGGGUAGUUUGGCUGGGGCGGUCUCCUCCUAAAGAGUAACGGAGGAGCACAAAGGUACCCUCAGUGCGGUCGGAAAUCGCACAUUGAGUGUAAAGGCAACAAGGGUGCUUAACUGCGAGACUGACAGGUCAAGCAGAUGCGAAAGCAGGUCUUAGUGAUCCGGUGGUUCUACAUGGAAGGGCCAUCGCUCAACGAAUAAAAGGUACGCCGGGGAUAACAGGCUGAUACCGCCCAAGAGUUCAUAUCGACGGCGGUGUUUGGCACCUCGAUGUCGGCUCAUCACAUCCUGGGGCUGAAGCAUGUCCCAAGGGUAUGGCUGUUCGCCAUUUAAAGUGGUACGCGAGCUGGGUUUAGAACGUCGUGAGACAGUUCGGUCCCUAUCUGCCGUAGGCGUAGGAAAUUUGAGAGGAGCUGCUCCUAGUACGAGAGGACCGGAGUGGACGUAUCUCUGGUGUUCCGGUUGUCACACCAGUGGCAUUGCCGGGUAGCUAAAUACGGAAGGGAUAACCGCUGAAAGCAUCUAAGCGGGAAGCCCACCUCAAGAUUAGAUUUCCCUGAAGGUUUGU